Molecule: ribosomal RNA, 253 nt
Filed under: uncultured bacterium
Lineage: Bacteria
Description: partial 16S ribosomal RNA
Rfam family: Bacterial small subunit ribosomal RNA
Source: RNAcentral
UACAGAAGGUGCGAGCGUUAAUCGGAAUUACUGGGCGUAAAGGGUGCGUAGGUGGUUAGAUAAGUUAGAUGUGAAAGUCCCGGGCUUAACCUGGGGAUGGCGUCUAAUACUGUUUAGCUAGAGUACUGUAGAGGAAAGUGGAAUUUCCGGUGUAGCAGUGAAAUGCGUAGAUAUCGGAAGGAACAUCAGUGGCGAAGGCGACUUUCUGGACAGAUACUGACACUGAGGCACGAAAGCAUGGGGAGCAAACAGG